UUAAAGAUAGCUUAAUAAUAAAGCAUUGAUUUUGUAAGUCAAUGAUGGGUAAACCUCUUUAAA
RNAcentral lists this transfer RNA (63 nucleotides) under Pyramidella dolabrata (giant Atlantic pyram). RNAcentral's name for it is "tRNA-Thr". It matches the Rfam family "tRNA". From Rfam's summary of the family: Transfer RNA (tRNA) molecules are approximately 80 nucleotides in length. Their secondary structure includes four short double-helical elements and three loops (D, anti-codon, and T loops). Lineage: Eukaryota; Metazoa; Mollusca; Gastropoda; Pyramidellidae. The record is from RNAcentral.